CACGUAGGGUGCGAGCGUUUGUCCGGAAUUAUUGGGCGUAAAGAGCUCGUAGGCGGUGUGUCGCGUCGGCCGUGAAAACCUGCAGCUUAACUGUGGGCUUGCGGUCGAUACGGGCAUCACUGGAGUUCGGCAGGGGAGACUGGAAUUCCUGGUGUAGCGGUGAAAUGCGCAGACUAUCAGGGAGGAACACCGGUGGGCGAAGGCGGGUCUCUGGGCC
RNAcentral lists this ribosomal RNA (217 nucleotides) under uncultured bacterium. Its description in RNAcentral is "partial 16S ribosomal RNA". It matches the Rfam family "Bacterial small subunit ribosomal RNA", at positions 524 to 735 of the family's 1533-position model. The record is from RNAcentral.